This is a non-coding RNA of Callorhinus ursinus (northern fur seal), 5769 nucleotides long. The record is from RefSeq and is a predicted model, not a curated record. Lineage: Eukaryota; Metazoa; Chordata; Mammalia; Carnivora; Otariidae.
GUUACUCUUCUGGGGGCAGUGACGGGAACACCAAUCAAACUGGCUGCAGCAGAAAGGGAAUUUAUUGGCCUGUGCAACUCACGUGUGCAGGGUAGCUCUGAGCACAGCAGGAUGCAGCCUCCCUUUAGCCCUGAGAUGCCUCUUCUGUCUGUGUUGGCCUGACCCCCAGGCAAGCCUUCUCCACAUGCUGCCCCCCAGGCCCAGGCUCACCCAUCCUUGCAAAUGGCAGUCCCAGCGGAGGAACUGUCAGCAAGGGGGCCCAGCCAGAGCCUCCCAUGGAGCCCCACUGGCCUGGUUGGGUCAGCCACUCUCGAACCACACGGGCUGAAAUUAGGGGACAGCUGACGUCUCCAGAAGAAGGGGGACAGGUGCCGAACAGGAAGAAACUGAAGAUGGCCGCCACCCUCCAAAGGGGGGCUCCAAUGAGAAAUAUCCCUACAAGCAGCUCUCACAGGCGUGAGCCCCCAAUGGCCAGGGAUGGUCAGGCUGUGGCCAGAGAGCACUUUGUAAGGUGCUACCCCGUGAAAGGAAGUUUUCUUCCAAACGGUUCUCAAGCCUCCAACCUCGGCUCCCAGAAUGUCCUCCCUCUGCCUUUUCCUAACCCAGGAGAUCCAGCUUCACUAUCGCUUUCCCCGAGAAGCCUCCUCCCUCAGCUGCCCUGUGGCUUUCUUUGCCUUCUGUGUGCCUGUAACCGUAGCUCCCGGAGGCAGGGUGGGCUCAAGUCCUGCCCUGCCCCUUCCUAGCUGGGUGACCUUGAACAAGGGACUUCCUUCUCUGAGCUCUGUUUCUCUCAUCCGUCCGGUACCUGGCCCUUUGCCGACGCGCUCUCUGCACUUCCUCAACCAUCAGAGACUUUUUCCUCGGGGCACAUGAUGCCCUAAAUAAAAGGCACGUUUCUCAUGGUCCCUGGCAGCUGGGUGUCCUGGGACUAAGGGGCUCCCCAUGGGGUGGGAGCCACAGUGUCAGAGGCUGUCUGAAGGGAUGGCUGGCAUGCAUCUGUCGUCUCUUGCCGGCGCAUACCCUCAGUCCUGCUGCCUGAGAUGCACACACUGCCACCUUUGACCCGGAGGAAGGCCCCGGGAGUGGCAGAGCGGUGACCCGAAGCCACUCUAUAGAACAGAGCCACCGUACCUGCCCUGCAAGUCAGGCCUCCAGCCUUUGGCAUGAGAAGUAGCUUCUGGUUUGUUUGAGCCAUGAUGAUUUGGGGCGCUCUCUUACAGCAGAACGUCACCCGAACUCAGAGUCCCUGCCUCCCAGGGGUUGUUGUGGAGGUUAAAUGAGAGGAUGUGGUUAAGAGGCCCGGCACGGGGCCCGAUGCACAGUAGGCGCUACCUGGAGCGGGUGGCUGUUCUGUCCUCCCAGUUAUUCUAACCGUCCACUUCGUUGUGCCUCACGCACAUGAGCAGGUUGUUGGCUGUCUGCCUCCCGCCUUGCGGUGGGCACCUUCACACCAGGGGUUUGUCUUCUCUCUCUCCCUCAGCUCUGGCCUGGUUCCUUGGAUGCCAACAAAAGAAACCAGCUCCGGCUGAUUAUUGGCAGACCGCGAGGUUCCCACAGGCUGGUGGGGGAGGCCGAGACCCAGGCUUGGCACAGACAGGCAACCCCAGCCGCAGAGCAGCUGCACGGCAGAUCCCACCCUGAUGGGAGCAGAUGCCAACUUUUGUGGGGUCUCCCUGCGUCUCUCCCCCUGGCCCUGUUUGGGGCAUAUGCCCACCUCUCAGAAGAGGGGACACCUUGGUGAACACUUCCACCAGACCGGACCCAACAGGACUAAGUUCAUUCCCCAAAAGGAAAGUGAAAUGGCCACUGAGCAGCAAACGUCCCAAGUAUGAUCGGGGUCUGGAUGCUCCUGGAAGUGAGGAACAAAGACCCUGACCCAACACGAGUGAACUGUAUCGCCUCUCAAAAACGGACGUCUGCACGUGGCUGCUCAGGGCAGGGAAGAUUCCAGAGGCCUGGAGAACUCGGCUCGCAAACAUUAGCACCCCCUGCUCCUGCGGCAGGCAGGUAAGGAGUCCAUCGAGAGCCCCGCCGUGGAGCACACUUCCUGCUCCAGCUCGGCCGCUCAGCAGCUGCGUGGCCUUGUACUUAACCUUCAGAGACUCUAUCUUCUCCAUGGAGUGGGGACAAGAUGCUCGGCACACCUUAGCCCGACAUUCUUCUAUUCUAGGGACCAUCUAGGCUAGGGGCUCUGUGUGGGCCCUGCCAGACCUCCCACUGUGGUCCCCUCUCUCGGCUCCCUUUCAUGAGCAGCCACUGUUCCCUGUGGUUCCUGUGUCUCUUCUCCAUGUGCCUCCUUCUCUGCACUGUCCCUCCCUGUCGGCCCACUCCCCUCAGCUUCUGACACGCUCACAUUUCUGUCUUUCUGGACCACUGGCCUCCUGGCCUCCAGGACCCACACACCUUUGGCUUUUCCUUCUUCCUCCGGUUACCCUUUGUGGUCCCUCUGCAGGCUCCUCCUCACCUGCUCAACCUCUAGCUCAGCACUGGGCCCUUUGUCCACACCACACCCCAGGGUCAACCUGGCUCAGGGUUUUCAGCACUAGCUCUGUGCUGAUGACCCCCUCAAAGAAAAACCCCAUGUGUCUCUCCACAUUCCAUACUUACUUUUGUUUUAACAAACGUGUGGGUUUUCCACACCCAGGAGUUCCAGCACUAACUGCCUGGAGUUAGUGCAAACCCCACAGGUUAAGUGCUGUCCCACAAGACCCUGCAACACCCCCCCACACACACCACUUCAGACACCAUUUGAAAGUCCAGGUUUUCACCUGGGCCUCUUAUAAAUCAGAGGUUCCUAUGACCCCUCCUCGGGUUCGAUAACUUGCUAGGAUGGCUCACAGAACUCAGGAAAACAGUUUACUUACAAUUAAGGAUUUAUUCUAGGACCCAACACACAAACAGACAGAUGGAAGUGAUGCACAGGGCAAGGUAUUGGGGGGUGGUGUGCAGAGCUUCCAGGCCCUCUCCAAGCUUAUCAUCUUCCCAGCACCUCCACCUGUUCGCCUGUCAGGAAACUCAACUCUUCCGCUUAGAGUUCUGACUGGAGACUCCACUGUGCACGCACAGUUGAUUCAAUCCCUGGCCACCAGUGACUCAGGCAGCCUCCAGCCCCUCUCCCCUCCCCCAGAGGCUGGGCGGGGGUGGAAGGAAGGCAAGGUAGAGUGGGACUGAAAGUUCCAGACCCUGGCAGCCAGCCCCCCAUUCUUUCCAAAAGUCACCUCAUUCACAUACACUCAGGUGUGUUGGAAAGGGGCUUGUUAUGAAUAACAACGGAUGCUCCUUUCAUCUUUAUCACUCUGGAGGCUUUUCAGGAGCUGAGGACAAAAAACAACUACAAAUUGCUCCUAGUACUCUUAUCACUUAGGAAAUUACAAGGGUUUUAGGCGCUCUGGUCAGGAGCCAUGGACGAAGACCAAGAUAUUUCUUCUAUCACAACAUCACACCCCAAAUCCCUCUGCCAAGUUCCAGACUCAAAUCCUACUGCCCACAUGACCCCUCCACUUCGACAGUUCAAAUGUGAUCACAAACAGCUGGGUUGACCCUUCCCAGAUUUUCCGUCCCAGCGAACACUUGGGCCCUGCACACUCGGGCGCCUCCCCCUCCACGUCCAAUCCACACGUGGUCCCGGUCAGUCACGUAUCCGGUAUCUGUUCUACCUCCCAAAUCUGUGCCCAUUUUUCCAUUCCUCCUCCCAGCACACUAGUUCCAGCCAUUAUCUGGCCUGCACUCCCACUUCUGCCUUCCCCGAGAUCUACUCCAGAGCCAGCCACCAGAGUUACCUCAGGAAAAGCAAACUGUAUCAAUGGAAGAAAGAGUAAGCAAACUAUGGCACUGCCACACAACGGAAUAUUCAGCCAUAACAGGAAUGAAGUACUGAUCCAUGCCACAACAUGAAGGAACCUCAAAAACAUGCUGAGUGAAAGAAGCCAGUCACAAAAGGCCACGUACUGUAUGACUCUGUAUAUAGAAAGGUCCAGAACAGACAAAUCCAAAGAGACAGAAAGGUAUGCCAGCCUUGUGUGGCUGUCACCAGCUCUAGAUGAAUCACAUCUUCUGGCGCAGCAGCCUCUGGACCCAGAUGGCAGAUGUAACUCUGGAAAAUCCAAACAGGGCCCCGGCUGAAAUCUCACGGACUUCUCUCCCUUCCUUUCUGCUUCCUCGCAUUCUCCUAGAGCCAGGACCUCGCAUCGCCCUAGAAAGGGAAGCGGUCAACUGUCACAGCUGAAAACACCGGCUCGGAGGAACCAAAACCAGCAGAGGCAGCCCCGUCUCUUCCACUGGGUCAAGCCAGAAUGAGCCCAUGCCCUAGCCCAGUGCCAGCUCUCCUGGGCCACAAGCAGACCAGAGCCAGGGGCCAUGCCAUGACCUUCCUCAGAAUGCUCCAUGAACAUCAAAAGGCGGGCACCCAGAAAGCUCCUGGGACGGUGACGGACUUGUCCUUGAGCAAGCUGGGCUUACUGCUUGAUAAGAAAGGUGCAGUGGGGGGCAGGGACUCCCUUGUGCAAGGGGACUGCGUUGGCAUUUCUCAAACCAGAGAACAAGUCCUUCCUCUAAAGCGGGAGUUCCUACUCCUUUUUUAUAACAUGGGUCUUCUUCUCCGGGGGAAUGUUUUUAAAUGUAUAAUAUAGAAUGCCUUGCAUUACAAAAGACCCAUUAUCUUGAAAUGCAGUUACUGAAUUAUUUUUUAAAUUGUCAUAAAUAUAUGAGAGCUAACGGCUGGUUUAGUAACUACAGUAAUUUCAAAGCAGAGGUGAGUAUAAGCUAUAUUUUAAAGUAUCUGCAAUAACUGUCUUGUGAUCUGAAGACAUCUGUGAUCUCGAUUGAUGACAAAGCCGUGGGUCCUGCUAAUACAAGUAUGGGCUGUUACCUGCAUUCAUCAUGGAAGGAAAUGCUCAAUUUCAGUUAAUGAAAAUAAAGUAAUUUUUCCCAUCCUAAAUGACCAGCCUUAGACUCUCUGGACCAUAGAGAAACAUGCCUGAGCCUUGCCUCCCCAACUCACAGGGGAGCUCUCUGAGAACGGCGCUGCUCCUUCAUCUUCUAUUAAGUGUCUGGAAAGGGCCUGCCUACCACACAGCAGGCAUCCAACAUGACCCUUUGAGUCUCUUGGAUCUUCUAGGCAGAUAAUCACAUAGACUGCAGAUGAGAGAUUUUCUCUUUUUAGUCUUUGUCCUUCUCACUUCCUUUCUUGUCUCACCACAUUAGCUGGGGUCUUCUGUACAAUGUUGAACAGAAGCAGUGAUGGUGGGCACCCUUAUCUUAUUACCCUCCAUAUUCACUUACUAAUUUAUUCAGUAGAGAUGUAAAGCACCUACUAUGUGCCAGAUAUGACAAAAUUGAGAUCUUUUCCUGUCCAACUGAGAAGACCGAGCAGUAGAGGCAUUCUGUGGACAGAAAUAUUGAGAACAUCACUAAAUUCUCCCUACUUGCUAACCUGCUCUCUUAGGAUCCUGAUUCCUCAAAAGUAUGGAACUAGGUCCCUGCUGGUGGUCCCAGUCUCCAGGGCACCAGUAAGGUUGGCAGGCGCGGGCUGCCCCAGGACCGCGGCAGGGCAGGGCAAGGAGGCAGCACACGGAAAGGAUGAUGAGAGAUGCCUCCAGCAGGGGUCCGCCAAAAGAUCAGGCCAGGGGCACGGCUUGAGCCUUGCCCUCUUAGGGCCUGUUGAGGCCACCACCUGUCUGCCCUAAGCUGGUAACUACAGGCAGGAGCAAUUGUUAAAGCCAACGGAAAGAGCGUUGCAGCUUUAGGGUGGGCAAUUAGGGGAGGAGAUAC